GUCUUCUCUUUCCUAUAAAUGAAUACCCAAAGACCUCAUCUUCUUCACAAUUCAGAUUCCAAAUUUCUCAAACAAUCUAAAAUCAUUCUCUCAAAUCUCUCAACCGUGAUCAAGAUGCAGAUCUUCGUUAAAACUCUCACCGGAAAGACUAUCACCCUUGAGGUGGAAAGCUCUGACACCAUCGACAACGUUAAAGCCAAGAUCCAGGACAAGGAAGGCAUUCCUCCGGAUCAGCAGAGGCUUAUUUUCGCCGGAAAGCAGUUGGAGGAUGGCCGUACGUUGGCUGAUUACAACAUCCAGAAGGAAUCCACCCUCCACUUGGUUCUCAGGCUCCGUGGUGGUAUGCAGAUUUUCGUCAAGACCCUAACGGGAAAGACGAUUACUCUUGAGGUGGAGAGUUCUGACACUAUCGACAACGUGAAGGCCAAGAUCCAGGAUAAGGAAGGUGGAGAGCUCCGACACCAUUGACAACGUGAAGGCCAAGAUCCAGGAUAAGGAAGGUAUCCCUCCGGACCAGCAGAGGUUGAUCUUCGCCGGAAAACAGUUGGAGGAUGGUCGUACCUUGGCGGAUUACAACAUCCAGAAGGAGUCGACCCUUCACUUGGUGUUGCGUCUCCGUGGAGGUAUGCAGAUCUUCGUCAAGACUUUGACCGGAAAGACCAUCACCCUUGAAGUGGAGAGCUCCGACACCAUUGACAACGUGAAGGCUAAGAUCCAGGACAAGGAAGGUAUCCCUUUGGACCAGCAGCGUCUCAUCUUCGCUGGAAAGCAGCUUGAGGAUGGUCGCACUUUGGCCGAUUACAACAUCCAGAAAGAGUCUACUCUUCACUUGGUCCUCCGUCUCCGUGGUGGUUUUUAAAACUCGUCUCUGUUAUGGUUUAAGAAGUUUAUGCCUCGUUUCUUUUAAAACUUUGGUGGUUUGUGUUUCUGGGGCCUUGUAAAGCUCCUGAUAAAUAAUUGAUGAACUAUGUUUUCGAUCCGUUAAUCUCCUCUUUCUUCCUAAUGACAAAUCGAACUAAUUUUCAAUUGCAA
This is an RNA transcript of Arabidopsis lyrata subsp. lyrata, 1032 nucleotides long. It is a transcript of the gene named polyubiquitin 11, with no coding region annotated. The transcript is spliced from 2 exons. The record is from RefSeq and is a predicted model, not a curated record. Lineage: Eukaryota; Viridiplantae; Streptophyta; Magnoliopsida; Brassicales; Brassicaceae.